Molecule: ribosomal RNA, 484 nt
Filed under: uncultured bacterium
Lineage: Bacteria
Description: partial 16S ribosomal RNA
Rfam family: Bacterial small subunit ribosomal RNA
Source: RNAcentral
AUUGAACGCUGGCGGCAGGCCUAACACAUGCAAGUCGAGCGGAUGAAGGGAGCUUGCUCCUGGAUUCAGCGGCGGACGGGUGAGUAAUGCCUAGGAAUCUGCCUGGUAGUGGGGGAUAACGUCCGGAAACGGGCGCUAAUACCGCAUACGUCCUGAGGGAGAAAGUGGGGGAUCUUCGGACCUCACGCUAUCAGAUGAGCCUAGGUCGGAUUAGCUAGUUGGUGGGGUAAAGGCCUACCAAGGCGACGAUCCGUAACUGGUCUGAGAGGAUGAUCAGGCACACCGGAACGGAGACACGGUCCAGACUACAACGGGAGGGAGCAGUGGGGAAUAUUGGACUAGGGGCGGAAGGCUGAUCCGACCCAGCCGCGUGGGGGAAAGAGGUACUCCGAUUUGAAAGGUCUUUAAGUUUGGUGGGAGGGCAGUGAGGUUAUACCUUGCUGUUUUGACGGUACCAACAGAAUAAGCACCGGCUAACUUCGUG